GACGAACGCUGGCGGCGUGCUUAACACAUGCAAGUCGAACGGAAAGGCCCUGCUUUUGUGGGGUGCUCGAGUGGCGAACGGGUGAGUAACACGUGAGUAACCUGUCCCUGACUUUGGGAUAACUUCAGGAAACUGGGGCUAAUACCGGAUAGGAGUUCCUGCUGCAUGGUGGGGGUUGGAAAGUUUCGGCGGUUGGGGAUGGACUCGCGGCCUAUCAGCUUGUUGGUUGGGUAGUGGCUUACCAAGGCCUUGACGGGUAGCCGGCCUGAGAGGGUGACCGGACACAUUGGAACUGGGAUACGGCCCAGACUCCUACGGGAGGCAGCAGUGGGGAAUAUUGCACAAUGGGCGGAAGCCAGAUGCAGCAACGCCGCGUGCGGGAUGACGGCCUUCGGGUUGUAAACCGAUUUCGCCUGUGACGAGACGUGAGUGACGGUAAUGGGUAAAGAAGCACCGGCUAACUACGUG
RNAcentral lists this ribosomal RNA (468 nucleotides) under uncultured bacterium. RNAcentral's name for it is "partial 16S ribosomal RNA". It matches the Rfam family "Bacterial small subunit ribosomal RNA", at positions 28 to 507 of the family's 1533-position model. The record is from RNAcentral.